UCGUCUCGAAUGUAAUUAACGCUUGUUAGAGUGACUCAACGGUCGAGAAGUACGGGCACGAACGAGCCAAUUUGAUCGUGCGUGGAACAGUGUUCGAAGCAUUAGUGCGAUCGUUGUGCGUUACGUGUAGGUAUAUUUGUUGGCGAUAUAACACGCGGUAUUUUUGACACGUUGUCACCUCUAACACGUGUACAUCAACGAGAAUGUGGAAAUAGAUACAUGAUACAGAAGCACAUCGAGAGUAUUAUUACGAUCCAGCGUAGUCGGCGAAAGCGAUAUUGUGAGUGCGAUGAUGACUACUCGGUAGAAGGUGUUGGUGGAUUAAUACUGUGAAACUCGGAAACACGGUGUGUAGAGGUGAAGCGACGUUUGUGAUCUGGAAUUCGAGAGUUCACGCGUGAUGCGGGUGCGUAUCGACACGCGUACGGUCCUGGGGGCGGCUAAAUCAAACGGUGUCACCGUUUAAUGCUUUAAUUUACGAGCCUGCAAUAUCGCUUCCACUAAACUGUACGAAGUUAUACAAGGUUGUAACGAAAAAUAUACACGUGAUAUGAAGGAAAUAUUUUGAUACAUUUUGAAAUGUGUUUCAUCUACGAAGCCAGAUAUCGAUGUACGUUACGAUGUUGUUUGAUCUUAGCAAAUGUUACACGACAACAUUAGAGAUCAAUGGAUGAAAAUUUUAUGACGUAAUUUGAAUCAGAAACACGAAAUAAGAAAUCGGAGACAUAGGGUCAAAAAGUAUGGUAAUUUG
This is a long non-coding RNA of Eufriesea mexicana, 751 nucleotides long. RefSeq lists it as uncharacterized. The transcript has 4 exons. Lineage: Eukaryota; Metazoa; Arthropoda; Insecta; Hymenoptera; Apidae. The record is from RefSeq and is a predicted model, not a curated record.